Molecule: unclassified non-coding RNA, 1105 nt
Filed under: Leishmania donovani
Lineage: Eukaryota; Euglenozoa; Kinetoplastea; Trypanosomatida; Trypanosomatidae
Description: gene:LdHU3.36.6360(CDS-product:60S_ribosomal_prot ein_L18_putative)
Source: RNAcentral
AAGAGUAAGUGCACCCGUUGCGUACCUUUUGUGGCAAUCAUGGGCGUGGAUCUGACAGGCAUCUCCAAGAAGAGUCGUGUGAUUCGCCAUCACACGUACUCGACGAACCCCUACAUCAAGCUGCUGAUCAAGCUGUACAAGUUCCUCGCGAAGCGCACAAGCUCUGGCUUCAACAAGGUCGUGUACCAGCGCCUGAUCAAGAGCCGCAGCAACCGCGCUCCGAUCUCGCUGAGCCGCAUCGCCGUCGUCAUGAAGCGCAAGGCUGUCUUCACCGCGAAGAGCAAGGCUGCCCCGAUCGCCGUCGUGGUCGGUGACGUCCUGGAUGAUGUGCGCAUGGCCCGCAUCCCCGCGAUGCGCGUCUGCGCCCUGCGCUUCUCCAAGAGCGCGCGCCAGAGCAUCGUCGCCGCCGGCGGUGAGUGCCUGACCUUCGACCAGCUCGCCAUGAUUGCUCCCACUGGCAAGAACACGUACCUGCUGCGUGGUCGCAAGUCUGGCCGCGAGUCGGUGCGCCACUUCGGCGCCUCUGGCGUGCCCGGCAGCCACUCGAAGCCUUACGCGACCAACCGCGGCAAGGAGACGAAGCGCGGCCGCCGCACGGGCCGCUCGUACAAACGCAAGGCCUUCCGCCAUGUCUGAGCUGCUGCGGCUUCUUGACCAUCUCAGUGCGCCUCGGCGUCUGCGCGUGCGCUGGGGCAGCGUCUGGGACGAAUGCGGGGCGGCGUGCAAGAAGGGAGUGGGACAGGCGGAGGCGAUGUAUGCGUAUGUGUGUGCUUGUAAGGAGGGAGCGUUCGGCAGAAUCGCUAUGGAGGGGUUGCUCUCGCUGUUUGACAACCUCCUCACUGCUGUCCUCGUUUCCUCCUCUGUGCGCAUACCUCUUCUUCUUCCCCGCAGCUUCACAAAAGACAGGCCACGAAUCACUGAGCAGCCAUCGCGGUGCAUACACAUACACACCCACAGGCACUCGCGUGUUUUGGGUCUGCUGGGCAAGAGAACGACGAUGCCGCCGCGAGAGUUUGCAGACUGUGCUGCAGCUUGCUCCUCUCUUUCUUUUCCACUUACCCGUCUGGUUUCAUUUGUGUUUUCUAUUUUUCUUCUUUGCCGUUUG